This 254-nucleotide ribosomal RNA is filed under the name uncultured bacterium. RNAcentral's name for it is "partial 16S ribosomal RNA". It matches the Rfam family "Bacterial small subunit ribosomal RNA", at positions 524 to 777 of the family's 1533-position model. The record is from RNAcentral.
UACGAAGGGGGCUAGCGUUGUUCGGAAUUACUGGGCGUAAAGCGCACGUAGGCGGAUCGAUCAGUCAGGGGUGAAAUCCUGGAGCUCAACUCCAGAACUGCCUUCGAUACUGGGAGUCUUGAGUCCGGGAGAGGUGAGUGGAACUGCGAGUGUAGAGGUGAAAUUCGUAGAUAUUCGCAAGAACACCAGUGGCGAAGGCGGCUCACUGGCCCGGUACUGACGCUGAGGUGCGAAAGCGUGGGGAGCAAACAGGG